Non-coding RNA from Opisthocomus hoazin, 45 nucleotides. The record is from Rfam. Lineage: Eukaryota; Metazoa; Chordata; Aves; Opisthocomiformes; Opisthocomidae.
CCAAAGGCUCUUUUAAGAGCCACCACGUGGCCAUGAAAGUGCUGU